GAUGAACGCUGGCGGCGUGCCUAAUACAUGCAAGUCGAGCGAACAGACGAGGAGCUUGCUCCUCUGACGUUAGCGGCGGACGGGUGAGUAACACGUGGAUAACCUACCUAUAAGACUGGGAUAACUUCGGGAAACCGGAUCUAAUACCGGAUAAUAUAUUGAACCGCAUGGUUCAAUAGUGAAAGACGGUUUUGCUGUGACUUAUAGAUGGAUCCGCGCCGCAUUAGCUAGUUGGUAAGGUAACGGCUUACCAAGGCAACGAUGCGUAGCCGACCUGAGAGGGUGAUCGGCCACACUGGAACUGAGACACGGUCCAGACUCCUACGGGAGGCAGCAGUAGGGAAUCUUCCGCAAUGGGCGAAAGCCUGACGGAGCAACGCCGCGUGAGUGAUGAAGGUCUUCGGAUCGUAAAACUCUGUUAUUAGGGAAGAACAAAUGUGUAAGUAACUAUGCACGUCUUGACGGUACCUAAUCAGAAAGCCACGGCUAACUACGUG
This 497-nucleotide ribosomal RNA is filed under the name uncultured bacterium. RNAcentral's name for it is "partial 16S ribosomal RNA". It matches the Rfam family "Bacterial small subunit ribosomal RNA", at positions 28 to 507 of the family's 1533-position model. The record is from RNAcentral.